Molecule: transfer RNA, 76 nt
Filed under: Candidatus Berkelbacteria bacterium
Lineage: Bacteria; Candidatus Berkelbacteria
Description: tRNA-Arg
Rfam family: tRNA
About the family: Transfer RNA (tRNA) molecules are approximately 80 nucleotides in length. Their secondary structure includes four short double-helical elements and three loops (D, anti-codon, and T loops). Further hydrogen bonds mediate the characteristic L-shaped molecular structure. tRNAs have two regions of fundamental functional importance: the anti-codon, which is responsible for specific mRNA codon recognition, and the 3' end, to which the tRNAs corresponding amino acid is attached (by aminoacyl-tRNA synthetases). tRNAs cope with the degeneracy of the genetic code in two manners: having more than one tRNA (with a specific anti-codon) for a particular amino acid; and 'wobble' base-pairing, i.e. permitting non-standard base-pairing at the 3rd anti-codon position.
Source: RNAcentral
GCGCCCGUAGCUCAGUGGAUAGAGCGCCAGCUUGCGGAGCUGGAGGUCACAGGUUCAAGUCCUGUCGGGCGCGCCA